Molecule: long non-coding RNA, 1332 nt
Organism: Triticum dicoccoides
Lineage: Eukaryota; Viridiplantae; Streptophyta; Magnoliopsida; Poales; Poaceae
Exons: 3
Source: RefSeq, a predicted model, not a curated record
GCCGGAGGUAGAGGUCACUGCAGCAAGGAGGUUAUCACCCAGGCCGUCAUCACAGAAAUCAAGUAUGUGAGCAGCUAUGGGGCUUGAGAUCCCCUCCUGUAAAUUUCAAAGGUGAAAAAACAUUUAGUACCAAUGUCCAUUGCAGUUAUCACCCAAGGAACAAGCAUCGACAAGGUACCAGGAAGAUGACAUCAUGAAACAUUUUCAGAGCAAUUGAAAAUGCUUGGUUUUUGUCCCCAAGCAUGUUUCUACAUACGAAAAAGAAUUAAGCAAGAUCUGUGUCUGAGAAUCAAUUACGGUGAUGCAAUCGUCGUCGGGGAGCAUAGUCGGUCCUCAACAGCGACGACCGGAUUGUCUCGGCGCUGCAGCUUGUGGGAGCAAAUUCCUUGGAACUGUUCUGUUGGUUCUCCAGAAGAGAAAUGGUUCCGGACGGAGCCGUGAAAGAUCGAAUCGCAAUACGGCGAGGAAGAUGGGUUAUGGCCUUGCGGGAAGAGGAGGGGAGGGGGGCUGGAAAGAAGAAGCCUGUUUCUCCAUGCAGAUGCAAAGAUGACCUUUUAUAGGGUGGCGUCCAUGCAAGUCAGACGCCGGCAAUUUCUGCGCUACAGAUGCUAUUCUUGCGCGGGGUGUGUUAUUUCUGCAUCAACGGCUGGGAUGAUGAAAUAGAAGCGUGAUCGCUUAAUCCUGUGAUUAUAUGGAUUGAUCUGGAAGUAUCCUAUUCCGUUGGUUGUGUCAUGCACGGACGGAUGAGAGAUAUAUACCGGUGAACAAAGUGCAAGAUAUGCUCUGGACGUCCUGUCUAUGCAUAGUGGGAGCGUAAUUUGGCUUCUGUUCUGUCUGACAUGUCAUCGAUUAUAGAUGUGCACCUACUGCUUGGACUGUCGAAACUUUGGAAGAGGCUUUACCAGGCAAGAAAAGGACGUCAAGUCAUGGCUAGAGCUGUGGGUGCCUAAAGAAAGAACUUACGCCCAUGUUUCCAAUCUGGAAUGCAGAAUCUUCAGCAAGCGAAUUAAUGGUACUAUGGCAAUUCUCGAGGUACGUACGUUUGAUUGCUUUGUUCUUAAACAAGCAUCAGAAUUUUCAAGUAGUGGAUAAAUGAAAUCAAGAAGCCAAACAAGCGUUUCAUCUUUCAUGGUAGUAUAUAAUGCGCUCAAUUUCAGUCUAUCAAGUUUUUGCUGAAGACACGUUACGUUGGUGAUGCAAAAAUUUAUACAAAGCAAGCAAGGCAAGCGAGAUGGAUCAUCCAUCUCCUUGCAUAUAUAUAGAAGCAUGCAGCGGAUCGAACUAAACCGAGAGCAAAUUAAGGGCGAAGAGGGAGGUUUGUGUACUUACAAU